GACGAACCGUGCUAACGUUGUUCGGAAUCACUGGGCUUAAAGGGCGCGUAGGCGGGCCGGCAAGUCAGGGGUGAAAGCCCGCGGCUCAACCGCGGAAGCGCCUUUGAUACUGCCGGCCUCGAGGGGGGUAGGGGCGUGCGGAACUUCCGGUGAAGCGGUGAAAUGCGUAGAUAUCGGAAGGAACACCGGUGGCGAAAGCGGCGCGCUGGACCCCUUCUGACGCUGAGGCGCGAAAGCCAGGGGAGCAAACGGG
Molecule: ribosomal RNA, 253 nt
Filed under: uncultured bacterium
Lineage: Bacteria
Description: partial 16S ribosomal RNA
Rfam family: Bacterial small subunit ribosomal RNA
Source: RNAcentral